CCUACGGGAGGCAGCAGUAGGGAAUCUUCCACAAUGGACGAAAGUCUGAUGGAGCAACGCCGCGUGAGUGAAGAAGGGUUUCGGCUCGUAAAGCUCUGUUGGUAGUGAAGAAAGAUAGAGGUAGUAACUGGCCUUUAUUUGACGGUAAUUACUUAGAAAGUCACGGCUAACUACGUGCCAGCAGCCGCGGGAAUACGUAGGUGGCAAGCGUUGUCCGGAUUUAUUGGGCGUAAAGCGAGUGCAGGCGGUUCAAUAAGUCUGAUGCGAAAGCCUUCGGCUCAACCGGAGAAUUGCAUCAGAAACUGUUGAACUUGAGUGCAGAAGAGGAGAGUGGAACUCCAUGUGUAGCGGUGGAAUGCGUAGAUAUAUGGAAGAACACCAGUGGCGAAGGCGGCUCUCUGGGCUGCAACUGACGCUGAGGCUCGAAAGCAUGGGUAGCGAACAGGAUUAGAUACCCCAGUAGUC
RNAcentral lists this ribosomal RNA (465 nucleotides) under uncultured bacterium. RNAcentral's name for it is "partial 16S ribosomal RNA". It matches the Rfam family "Bacterial small subunit ribosomal RNA", at positions 338 to 795 of the family's 1533-position model. The record is from RNAcentral.